GGCUUCGUAGCUCAGUUGGUAGAGCGUUUGCCACAUUGAGGCAUGAUGUUUCUGUCACUGGUUGGAAUCCAGCCGGAGCCC
This 81-nucleotide transfer RNA is filed under the name Paragonimus skrjabini miyazakii. RNAcentral describes it as "Paragonimus miyazakii tRNA". It matches the Rfam family "tRNA". From Rfam's summary of the family: Transfer RNA (tRNA) molecules are approximately 80 nucleotides in length. Their secondary structure includes four short double-helical elements and three loops (D, anti-codon, and T loops). Lineage: Eukaryota; Metazoa; Platyhelminthes; Trematoda; Plagiorchiida; Troglotrematidae. The record is from Rfam by way of RNAcentral.